UGGGGAAUAUUGGACAAUGGGCGCAAGCCUGAUCCAGCCAUUCCUCGUGAGUGAUGAAGGCCCUAGGGUUGUAAAGCUCUUUCACCGGUGAAGAUAAUGACGGUAACCGGAGAAGAAGCCCCGGCUAACUUCGUGCCAGCAGCCGCGGUAAUACGAAGGGGGCUAGCGUUGUUCGGAUUUACUGGGCGUAAAGCGCACGUAGGCGGACUAUUAAGUCAGGGGUGAAAUCCCGGGGCUCAACCCCGGAACUGCCUUUGAUACUGGUAGUCUUGAGUUCGAGAGAGGUGAGUGGAAUUCCGAGUGUAGAGGUGAAAUUCGUAGAUAUUCGGAGGAACACCAGUGGCGAAGGCGGCUCACUGGCUCGAUACUGACGCUGAGGUGCGAAAGCGUGGGGAGCAAACAGG
This 404-nucleotide ribosomal RNA is filed under the name Actinomycetes bacterium. RNAcentral describes it as "Actinobacteria bacterium partial 16S ribosomal RNA". It matches the Rfam family "Bacterial small subunit ribosomal RNA", at positions 355 to 776 of the family's 1533-position model. The record is from RNAcentral. Lineage: Bacteria; Bacillati; Actinomycetota; Actinomycetes.